GCCAGGCAUGGUGGUGCAUGCCUGUAAUCCCAGCUACUUGGGAGGCUGAGACAGGAGAAUUGCUUGAGCCUGGGAGGUGGAGGUUGCAGUGAGCCGAGAUUGCAUCACUGCACUCCAGCCUGAGCUACAGAGUGAGACCGUGUCUCAA
This is a non-coding RNA of Homo sapiens (human), 148 nucleotides long. It matches the Rfam family "Metazoan signal recognition particle RNA". From Rfam's summary of the family: The signal recognition particle (SRP) is a universally conserved ribonucleoprotein. It is involved in the co-translational targeting of proteins to membranes. The record is from Rfam. NCBI's taxonomy places the organism in Eukaryota, Metazoa, Chordata, Mammalia, Primates, Hominidae.